GAUGAACGCUAGCGGGAGGCCUAAUACAUGCAAGUCGAGCGGUAGAGUGACUUCGGUUGCUUGAGAGCGGCGAACGGGUGAGUAACGCGUACACAAUCUACCUUUAAGAGGGGAAUAGCCCUGGGAAACUGGGAUUAAUGCCCCAUGGCAUCACGAGACGGCAUCGUUUUGUGAUUAAAGCUGAGGUGCUUAGAGAUGAGUGUGCGUCUGAUUAGCUAGUUGGUGCGGUAACGGCGCACCAAGGCGACGAUCAGUAGGGGGGCGUGAGAGCGUGGACCCCCACACGGGUACUGAGACACGGACCCGACUCCUACGGGAGGCAGCAGUAAGGAAUAUUGGUCAAUGGAGGAAACUCUGAACCAGCCAUCCCGCGUGCAGGAAGAAUGCCCUAUGGGUUGUAAACUGCUUUUAUCUGGGAAGAAAAGUCGGGAUUUAUCCUGAUCUGACGGUACCAGAGGAAUAAGCACCGGCUAACUCCGUGCCAGCAGCCGCGGUAAAG
This 499-nucleotide ribosomal RNA is filed under the name uncultured bacterium. RNAcentral's name for it is "bacterial SSU rRNA". It matches the Rfam family "Bacterial small subunit ribosomal RNA", at positions 28 to 525 of the family's 1533-position model. The record is from RNAcentral.